Molecule: ribosomal RNA, 497 nt
Filed under: uncultured bacterium
Lineage: Bacteria
Description: partial 16S ribosomal RNA
Rfam family: Bacterial small subunit ribosomal RNA
Source: RNAcentral
GAUGAACGCUGGCGGCGUGCCUAAUACAUGCAAGUCGAGCGAACAGAUGAGGAGCUUGCUCCUCUGACGUUAGCGGCGGACGGGUGAGUAACACGUGGAUAACCUACCUAUAAGACUGGGAUAACUUCGGGAAACCGGAGCUAAUACCGGAUAAUAUAUUGAACCGCAUGGUUCAAUAGUGAAAGACGGUUUUGCUGUCUCUUAUAGAUGGAUCCGCGCCGCAUUAGCUAGUUGGUAAGGUAACGGCUUACCAAGGCGACGAUGCGUAGCCGACCUGAGAGGGUGAUCGGCCACACUGGAACUGAGACACGGUCCAGACUCCUACGGGAGGCAGCAGUAGGGAAUCUUCCGCAAUGGGCGAAAGCCUGACGGAGCAACGCCGCGUGAGUGAUGAAGGUCUUCGGAUCGUAAAACUCUGUUAUUAGGGAUGAACAAAUGUGUAAGUAACUAUGCACGUCUUGACGGUACCUAAUCAGAAAGCCACGGCUAACUACGUG